CCUACGGGGGGCAGCAGUGAGGAAUAUUGGUCAAUGGACGGAAGUCUGAACCAGCCAAGUAGCGUGCAGGAUGACGGCCCUACGGGUUGUAAACUGCUUUUAUACGGGAAUAACGUGCCUUACGUGUAGGGCUUUGCAUGUACCGCAUGAAUAAGGACCGGCUAAUUCCGUGCCAGCAGCCGCGGUAAUACGGAAGGUCCGGGCGUUAUCCGGAUUUAUUGGGUUUAAAGGGAGCGCAGGCCGCACGUCAAGCGUGCUGUGAAAUGUCCGGGCUCAACCCGGGCCUUGCAGCGCGAACUGGCGGGCUUGAGUCCGCGGAAAGCAGGCGGAAUUCGUCGUGUAGCGGUGAAAUGCUUAGAUAUGACGAAGAACCCCGAUUGCGAAGGCAGCUUGCUGCAGCGGAACUGACGCUGAUGCUCGAAGGCGCGGGUAUCGAACAGGAUUAGAUACCCUAGUAGUC
RNAcentral lists this ribosomal RNA (460 nucleotides) under uncultured bacterium. RNAcentral describes it as "partial 16S ribosomal RNA". It matches the Rfam family "Bacterial small subunit ribosomal RNA", at positions 338 to 795 of the family's 1533-position model. The record is from RNAcentral.